GGUUUGUUAGCCUGCUCGGGCCUCUCGUGGGGGAAGCCGGUGCGAAUCCGGCGCUGACCCGCAACGGUGUGCGUGGCCCGCGGGUGUCCCGGGGGCCGCGCGAGCCCGAUCGCCCGCGGCAGGAGUACCGA
RNAcentral lists this non-coding RNA (131 nucleotides) under Streptomyces sp. Lineage: Bacteria; Bacillati; Actinomycetota; Actinomycetes; Kitasatosporales; Streptomycetaceae. The record is from RNAcentral.